RNAcentral lists this long non-coding RNA (952 nucleotides) under Anser brachyrhynchus (Pink-footed goose). Its description in RNAcentral is "lncRNA (ENSABRG00000017490.1)". Lineage: Eukaryota; Metazoa; Chordata; Aves; Anseriformes; Anatidae. The record is from RNAcentral.
UCUUGUCUCCUCAGCUUGGUCUUUGCUUCCCUCCAUCAUACAGCAGUUCCUUUAAUCUGGAAAGCUUUGUAACUGUUGACCCAUUAAAAUAGUGGAUUGAGGAGCAGAGUAGAAAGGCAGAACAUUUUCUUACACCAUUGCUAUAGACAGCAUUUCGUUUUUCUCAUGUCAAGGUCUUGUGAAAGCGGAUCUCUACCUAUAACGUUGUCUUCAGAUAACUUGAAAACUCACUGUGACUUGUUUAGACUGUACCUGAAGGAUUUUGGGGAAUAUGUCCAUGGAGUAUUCAAGUGAAUGACCAACAAGGCCAAAUUAAAGGAUGCAAUGGACCUAUAUUUAUGCAUUUUGGAUUGGCCUCUGUUUAUUACAGCCUAGACAACAAUACUACUUUACAAGACUCUGCUUCUGCAACCCAGAGAGAAAAAGAACAAAUUUCAAGGAGAGAACCUCAUCCAUCUUCUCCUGAAUCUGUCACAAUGCUGUAGAUGGCUGCGCUACUUGGUGUUUAUAGGGCCAGAUUGAACUAUUGAUUUUUUACAUGGAACUCCCCAUUGCCCUGAAGAAAUCAUACUAAGAAAAAGCAAAUGGCAUAAUAUAUGGUCCUUAAAGAUGAGCAAGACCUGAUUUAUCUGGCAUUUUGUUUUGUUUUCCUGUCUCUGAUUAUAGCAAUUAUUUGUUAGCAUGCACCACUUUCUUUAUUUUGCUUUCAACCUUUUCAUAGUAAAGUAGUUGAGAGAAGAUUGUUUUAGUUUUGUAUUAUUUAGAGAAUUGGUUACUGCUGUUCUCAUCUAUCAUUAAUGAAUGGAAAUUCUACUUAAUGAACUUUUUUUCAAUGUCAGUUCAAAUCGUUGACACUUACAAUUACUAUGGCACCUCUGAGAAAGAAACUCAUGCUAUAACCUGAGCCAUUUUGGAGAGAGAUAAUAAAAAGCUGUUCCCAUAUUUCUGUGCA